This is a long non-coding RNA of Etheostoma spectabile (orangethroat darter), 145 nucleotides long. RefSeq lists it as uncharacterized. The record is from RefSeq and is a predicted model, not a curated record. The transcript has 3 exons. Lineage: Eukaryota; Metazoa; Chordata; Actinopteri; Perciformes; Percidae.
UGCCUUUAAAGUAUUGACCAUCAAAAAAUGCCUUGCCAUUCACAACCCAAUUUCAAUACCUUAAGAGUAAAUCUAAUCAGCGUCAGUGAACCAAUCGGCAUGCAGCAUGCUUCUACCAAGCGCUAAUAAGGCACACAGGAAAAUA